UAGGGAAUCUUCCGCAAUGGAUGCAAGUCUGACGGAGCAACGCCGCGUGGGUGAAGAAGGAUUUCGGUUCGUAAAACUCUGUUGUUAGAGAAGAACAGCGCAUAGAGUAACUGAUAUGCGUGUGACGGUAUCUAACCAGAAAGCCACGGCUAACUACGUGCCAGCAGCCGCGGUAAUACGUAGGUGGCAAGCGUUGUCCGGAUUUAUUGGGCGUAAAGCGAGCGCAGGCGGUCAAUUAAGUCUGAUGUGAAAGCCCCCGGCUCAACCGGGGAGUGUCAUUGGAAACUGGUUGACUUGAGUGCAGAAGGGGAGGGUGGAAUUCCAUGUGUAGCGGUAAAAUGCGUGAUUAUAUGGAGGAACACCAGUGGCGAAGGCGACUCUCUGGUCGGUAACUGACGCGGAGGCUCGAAAGCGUGGGUAGCAAACAGG
This 429-nucleotide ribosomal RNA is filed under the name Bacteroidota bacterium. RNAcentral's name for it is "Bacteroidetes bacterium partial 16S ribosomal RNA". It matches the Rfam family "Bacterial small subunit ribosomal RNA", at positions 355 to 776 of the family's 1533-position model. The record is from RNAcentral. Lineage: Bacteria; Pseudomonadati; Bacteroidota.